ACAGCGGCCUUAAGAUUCUUGGUGCUUUUCUGCCAGGGAAUCUCCGGUCUGGCUUCCUUCUUGAGUCCAUAAUAGACGACUCUGCCUUCCGGGAGUUCCAAACGUGGGCCAAAAGGGGACCCAGACCUGUUUACUCUGCACCAAGAACUGCCACGCCGAGGAGCCGGCAAAACCGCUGUGCCGGCUACAAGAGUCGCGCUGGCGACCCAUGGAGCUCCUCCCCUGGGAAUCUCCUGGUCCGACAACCAAGUCCCU
Molecule: long non-coding RNA, 255 nt
Organism: Cebus imitator (Panamanian white-faced capuchin)
Lineage: Eukaryota; Metazoa; Chordata; Mammalia; Primates; Cebidae
Exons: 3
Source: RefSeq, a predicted model, not a curated record